AGUCCGGAUUGGAGUCUGCAACUCGACUCCAUGAAGUCGGAAUCGCUAGUAAUCGUAGAUCAGAAUGCUACGGUGAAUACGUUCCCGGGCCUUGUACACACCGCCCGUCACACCAUGGGAGUGGGUUGCAAAAGAAGUAGGUAGCUUAACCUUCGGGAGGGCGCUUACCACUUUGUGAUUCAUGACUGGGGUGAAGUCGUAACAAGGUAACCGUAGGGGAACCUGCGGUUGGAUCACCUCCUUACCUGAAGAUAC
This 255-nucleotide ribosomal RNA is filed under the name Pantoea dispersa. RNAcentral describes it as "partial 16S ribosomal RNA". It matches the Rfam family "Bacterial small subunit ribosomal RNA", at positions 1290 to 1533 of the family's 1533-position model. The record is from RNAcentral. Lineage: Bacteria; Pseudomonadati; Pseudomonadota; Gammaproteobacteria; Enterobacterales; Erwiniaceae.